Non-coding RNA from Periophthalmus magnuspinnatus, 406 nucleotides. Lineage: Eukaryota; Metazoa; Chordata; Actinopteri; Gobiiformes; Gobiidae. The record is from the annotation of a RefSeq genome assembly.
AAAUGUCUCCACCUCUGCUCACUUCUGCUGCUACAUUCUGUCUGUAUUUUUCAUAUGUAUCAGCAGCUGCUAAAUUCCAGCAGUCUCCCUGGAUAAUAUCAAACCAAAGUGCUCGAGUGUCCAUAGAGUGCAGCCAUGAUGACAGUUCCCUCCUUGUUAUGCUCUGGUAUCAGCACCGGCCGGAAACUCAGUCUAUGAUGUUGAUUGGAUACAAUUAUGUGGGAACUGACAACUAUGAGAAUGAACUUGGAAAGCAGUUUAAGAUGGAGAGACUCAACGUGCUGACUGGCUCUCUCACAGUGCUCAGUGCAAGCCCCUCGCACUCGGCUGUGUACUUCUGUGCAGCAAGUAUCACAGUGAUGAAGUUAAGAGCCACUCCCAGCUAAAAACCUACUGCACACAACAU